CGUAGUAGAGCCAUAGUAGAGUAAAGCACGUGUCGUAAAACCUUGUUGUCACAGUUUCUCCAUGGCUAUUUUAUUGUUUUUAUUGGAUGUUUUGAUUUUGUAUUUUUUGGAUUCGAUUUUCUUAGUGUGUAGUGUCGGUUUAGUGUUUAUUUUGAUUACUUUUUAUUUAAAAACUAUAAAACAUGGUUCGUCAGUGCCAAAUUUGUAAGAAAUUGGACUAUUUAAGUCCUGGAACAACAUUCCACAGAUUAUGCUGCCAAAGUUUCCUGAAUACAAUUCCGACCACUCUGUAUAUCAAGAUAUCCCCCAUUACGUACUAGUUUUUCUUAAUAAUUUUCUAUACAUUUUCCAACGCCAAGAUGUACCAAGCGCAUACAAAUACAUCAAGCUUCAAACAAGCUUGCACGUUGACAGUAAUACCUACAGUAAUAUUGUAUUAUAUUAAUGUAAUAUUUUUGAACCAAUGUUCAAUAUUACUGUAGUAAUACUGUUUAUACUCAUGCCUUUUAUAUUUGUUUGAAUUUGGUGCAUAUUUCCAUUGAAUAAAGUAUAGUCACCAUUACCAUUAUUAUACUUACUCUAUAAUAAAGACAGUAACGAGUUAAA
RNAcentral lists this long non-coding RNA (606 nucleotides) under Sitophilus oryzae (rice weevil). Its description in RNAcentral is "uncharacterized LOC115875370". The record is from RNAcentral. Lineage: Eukaryota; Metazoa; Arthropoda; Insecta; Coleoptera; Curculionidae.